GACGAACGCUGGCGGCGUGCCUAACACAUGCAAGUCAGGGAGAAUGGGGUAGCAAUAUCCCUAGUAAACCGGCGCAAGGGUGAGUAACACGUAAGCAAUCUGCCUUUUGGACGGGAAUAACUUCGAGAAAUCGAGGCUAAUACCCGAUAAUGCAGCGGCAUCGCAUGAUGACAGUUGUUAAAGGCCGUAAGGUGCCAAAAGAUGAGCUUGCGUCCCAUUAGCUUGUUGGCGGGGUAACGGCCCACCAAGGCGACGAUGGGUAGCUGGUCUGAGAGGACGAUCAGCCACACUGGAACUGAGACACGGUCCAGACUCCUACGGGAGGCAGCAGUGAGGAAUAUUGCGCAAUGUACCGAAAGGGUGACGCAGCGACGCCGCGUGAAGGAU
This 387-nucleotide ribosomal RNA is filed under the name uncultured bacterium. Its description in RNAcentral is "bacterial SSU rRNA". It matches the Rfam family "Bacterial small subunit ribosomal RNA", at positions 28 to 409 of the family's 1533-position model. The record is from RNAcentral.